RNAcentral lists this ribosomal RNA (1336 nucleotides) under uncultured bacterium. RNAcentral's name for it is "bacterial SSU rRNA". It matches the Rfam family "Bacterial small subunit ribosomal RNA", at positions 28 to 1363 of the family's 1533-position model. The record is from RNAcentral.
GAUGAACGCUGGCGGCGUGCCUAACACAUGCAAGUCGAACGAAGUGCUAUUAAUGAAACUUCGGUGGAUUUAAAAGUAUCUUAGUGGCGGACGGGUGAGUAACGCGUGGGUAACCUGCCUUAUACAGGGGGAUAACAGUCAGAAAUGACUGCUAAUACCGCAUAAGCGCACAGAGCUGCAUGGCUCAGUGUGAAAAGCCGAGACGGUAUAAGAUGGACCCGCGUCUGAUUAGCUGGUUGGUAAGGUAACGGCUUACCAAGGCGACGAUCAGUAGCCGGCCUGAGAGGGUGACCGGCCACAUUGGGACUGAGACACGGCCCAAACUCCUACGGGAGGCAGCAGUGGGGAAUAUUGCACAAUGGGCGAAAGCCUGAUGCAGCAACGCCGCGUGAAGGAUGAAGUAUUUCGGUAUGUAAACUUCUAUCAGCAGGGAAGAUAACGACGGUACCUGACUAAGAAGCCCCGGCUAACUACGUGCCAGCAGCCGCGGUAAUACGUAGGGGGCAAGCGUUAUCCGGAUUUACUGGGUGUAAAGGGAGCGCAGGCGGCAGCGCAAGUCAGAAGUGAAAGCCCGGGGCUUAACUCCGGGACUGCUUUUGAAACUGUGCGGCUAGAUUUCAGGAGAGGUAAGCGGAAUUCCUAGUGUAGCGGUGAAAUGCGUAGAUAUUAGGAGGAACACCAGUGGCGAAGGCGGCUUACUGGACUGAUAAUGACGCUGAGGCUCGAAAGCGUGGGGAGCAAACAGAAGUAGAUACCCUGGUAUUCCCCGCCCCUAAACGAGGAAUAAUAGGUGUCGGGGUCCAAAAGGAAUUCGGUGCCGCAGCAAACGCAAUAAGUAUUCCACCUGGGGAGGACGUUCGCAAGAAUGAAACUCAAAGGAAUUGACGGGGACCCGCACAAGCGGUGGAGCAUGUGGUUUAUUUCGAAGCAACGCGAAGAACCUUACCAAGUCUUGACAUCCCUCUGACCGGUGAGUAACGUCACCUAUCAAUACGGGACAGAGGAGACAGGUGGUGCAUGGUUGUCGUCAGCUCGUGUCGUGAGAUGUUGGGUUAAGUCCCGCAACGAGCGCAACCCCUAUUGUCAGUAGCCAGCAGGUAAAGCUGGGCACUCUGAUGAGACUGCCGGGGAUAACCCGGAGGAAGGCGGGGAGGACGUCAAAUCAUCAUGCCCCCUAUGAUUUGGGCUACACACGUGCUACAAUGGUGGUAACAAAGUGAAGCGAGCCAGUGAUGGGGAGCCAAGCACAGAAAAGCCAUCCCAGUUAAGAUUGUAGUCUGCAACUCGACUACAUGAAGCUGGAAUCGCUAGUAAUCGCGAAUCAGAAUGUCGCGGU